This 253-nucleotide ribosomal RNA is filed under the name uncultured bacterium. RNAcentral describes it as "partial 16S ribosomal RNA". It matches the Rfam family "Bacterial small subunit ribosomal RNA", at positions 524 to 776 of the family's 1533-position model. The record is from RNAcentral.
UACGUAGGGUGCAAGCGUUGUCCGGAAUUAUUGGGCGUAAAGAGCUCGUAGGCGGUUUGUCGCGUCGAAUGUGAAAACCCGGGGCUCAACCCCGGGCCUGCAUUCGAUACGGGCAGACUAGAGGUAGGUAGGGGAGAAUGGAAUUCCCGGUGUAGCGGUGAAAUGCGCAGAUAUCGGGAGGAACACCGGUGGCGAAGGCGGUUCUCUGGGCCUUACCUGACGCUGAGGAGCGAAAGCGUGGGGAGCGAACAGG